AGAGUUUGAUCAUGGCUCAGGAUGAACGCUAGCGGCAGGCUUAAUACAUGCAAGUCGAGGGGCAGCACAGGUAGCAAUACUGGGUGGCGACCGGCAAACGGGUGCGGAACACGUACGCAACCUUCCCAAAACAGGUGAAUAGCCCUCCGAAAGGAGGAUUAAUACACCGUAACAUAAUUAAGUGGCAUCACAUGAUUAUUAUAGAUAGCAAUAUCGGUUUUGGAUGGGCGUGCGCCUGAUUAGGUAGUUGGUAGGGUAACGGCCUACCAAGCCUUCGAUCAGUAACUGGUGUGAGAGCACGACCAGUCACACGGGCACUGAGACACGGGCCCGACUCCUACGGGAGGCAGCAGUAAGGAAUAUUGGUCAAUGGACGCAAGUCUGAACCAGCCAUGCCGCGUGAAGGAUGAAGGCCCUCUGGGUUGUAAACUUCUUUUAUCUGGGACGAAAAAAGGGGAUUCUUCCUCACUUGACGGUACCAGAGGAAUAAGCACCGGCUAACUCCGUGCCAGCAGCCGCGGUAAUACGGAGGGUGCAAGCGUUAUCCGGAUUUACUGGGUUUAAAGGGUGCGUAGGUGGGUAGGAAAGUCAGUGGUGAAAUCUUCGGGCUUAACCCGGAAACUGCCAUUGAUACUAUUUAUCUUGAAUACUUUGGAGGUAAGCGGAAUAUGUCAUGUAGCGGUGAAAUGCUUAGAUAUGACAUAGAACACCAAUUGCGAGGCAGCUUACUACACAGUUAUUGACACUGAGGCACGAAAGCGUGGGGAUCAAACAGGAUUAGAUACCCUAGUAGUCC
This 796-nucleotide ribosomal RNA is filed under the name uncultured bacterium. RNAcentral describes it as "bacterial SSU rRNA". It matches the Rfam family "Bacterial small subunit ribosomal RNA", at positions 8 to 796 of the family's 1533-position model. The record is from RNAcentral.